Molecule: ribosomal RNA, 914 nt
Filed under: Phomatodes nebulosa
Lineage: Eukaryota; Fungi; Ascomycota; Dothideomycetes; Pleosporales; Didymellaceae
Description: LSU rRNA
Rfam family: Eukaryotic large subunit ribosomal RNA
Source: RNAcentral
UAAGCAUAUCAAUAAGCGGAGGAAAAGAAACCAACAGGGAUUGCCCUAGUAACGGCGAGUGAAGCGGCAACAGCUCAAAUUUGAAAUCUGGCGUCUUUGGCGUCCGAGUUGUAAUUUGCAGAGGGCGCUUUGGCAUUGGCAGCGGUCCAAGUUCCUUGGAACAGGACGUCACAGAGGGUGAGAAUCCCGUACGUGGUCGCUAGCCUUUACCGUGUAAAGCCCCUUCGACGAGUCGAGUUGUUUGGGAAUGCAGCUCUAAAUGGGAGGUAAAUUUCUUCUAAAGCUAAAUACUGGCCAGAGACCGAUAGCGCACAAGUAGAGUGAUCGAAAGAUGAAAAGCACUUUGGAAAGAGAGUUAAAAAGCACGUGAAAUUGUUGAAAGGGAAGCGCUUGCAGCCAGACUUGCCUGUAGUUGCUCAUCCGGGUUUUUACCCGGUGCACUCUUCUAUAGGCAGGCCAGCAUCAGUUUGGGCGGUUGGAUAAAGGUCUCUGUCAUGUACCUCUCUUCGGGGAGAACUUAUAGGGGAGACGACAUGCAACCAGCCUGGACUGAGGUCCGCGCAUCUGCUAGGAUGCUGGCGUAAUGGCUGUAAGCGGCCCGUCUUGAAACACGGACCAAGGAGUCUAACAUCUAUGCGAGUGUUUGGGUGUCAAGCCCGAGCGCGUAAUGAAAGUGAACGGAGGUGGGAACCUUUCGGGGUGCACCAUCGACCGAUCCUGAUGUCUUCGGAUGGAUUUGAGUAAGAGCAUAGCUGUUGGGACCCGAAAGAUGGUGAACUAUGCUUGAAUAGGGUGAAGCCAGAGGAAACUCUGGUGGAGGCUCGCAGCGGUUCUGACGUGCAAAUCGAUCGUCAAAUUUGGGCAUAGGGGCGAAAGACUAAUCGAACUAUCUAGUAGCUGGUUCCUGCCGAAGU